Phrynosoma platyrhinos (Desert horned lizard) is the source of this 69-nucleotide non-coding RNA. NCBI's taxonomy places the organism in Eukaryota, Metazoa, Chordata, Lepidosauria, Squamata, Phrynosomatidae. The record is from the annotation of a GenBank genome assembly.
UGAGCCAUGGUGUAGUGGUUUGAACAUUGGAAUAGGAAUCUGGAGACCAGGGUUCGAAUCUCUGCUCAG